AUACAAAGUCGCAUAUUUCCAUCUUUUUUCUUUACGAAGAGAACAUGAGCACCCCAAGGAGAUGUACUAGGACGAAUGAAACCGAUGUCUAAUAAUUCCUGCAGUUGAAUCUUUAACUCCUGAAGUUCAACAGGAGCCAUUCGAUAUGGGGCUUUGGAAAUGGGUUUUGUACCGGGUUCAAGGUCUAUACUGUAGCAUCCCCGAAUCCGGGUCCCAAAUCGCCGCGGAUCCGGUAUACUAAUUCUAUCACUAUUGAGGAAGAUAUAAACAUAAAUUGUUUAUACAUUAAACUUUACACACUAUUUCCCCAAAAUCGAGUAACCUUAACUAAUACACAAUCAUAAACUAUCUAACACAUGACAAUACUAUUCUUCAACCAUACUUUUACAAAUUAGCU
Molecule: long non-coding RNA, 397 nt
Filed under: Panax ginseng (ginseng)
Lineage: Eukaryota; Viridiplantae; Streptophyta; Magnoliopsida; Apiales; Araliaceae
Description: long non-coding RNA (PGIN_LNC016987)
Source: RNAcentral